This 339-nucleotide unclassified non-coding RNA is filed under the name soil metagenome. RNAcentral describes it as "partial contains 5.8S ribosomal RNA, internal transcribed spacer 2, and large subunit ribosomal RNA". The stretch from base 1 to 120 matches the Rfam family "5.8S ribosomal RNA", at positions 35 to 154 of the family's 154-position model. The record is from RNAcentral.
GAUGAAGAACGUAGCGAAAUGCGAUAAGUAAUGCGAAUUGCAGAAUUCCGUGAGUCAUCGAAUCUUUGAACGCACAUUGCACCGCUCGGUACUCCGGGAGGUAUGCCUGUUCGAGCGUCAUUUGUACCCUCAAGCUCUGCUUGGUGUUGGGUGUUUGUUCCGCCUCUGUGUGUGAACUCGCCUCAAAACAAUUGGCAGCCGGCGUACUUGUUUCGGAGCGCAGCACAUUUUGCGAUCCAGAUCAACGUACAGCGGCAUCCAAGAAGCCUUAUUUAACGCUCUUGACCUCGGAUCAGGUAGGGAUACCCGCUGAACUUAAGCAUAUCAAUAAGCGGAGGA